UGAGCGGAGAUUAUGGAGCUUGCUUUAUAUAACUUAGCAGCGAACGGGUGAGUAACACGUAGAUAAUCUAUCCUAUACUGGGGGAUAGCCCGAUGAAAGUUGGAUUAAUACCGCAUAUAGCUAUAUAGUUGCAUGAUUAUGUAGUGAAAGAUUUAUUGGUAUAGGAGGAGUCUGCGGCACAUUAGCUAGUAGGUGAGGUAAAGGCUUACCUAGGCGACGAUGUGUAGCCGGUCUGAGAGGACGAACGGCCACAAUGGAACUGAGACACGGUCCAUACUCCUACGGGAGGCAGCAGUGGGGAAUAUUGCACAAUGGGGGAAACCCUGAUGCAGCAACGCCGCGUGAGUGAAGAAGGUUUUCGGAUUGUAAAGCUCUGUUAGCAGGGAAGAGGAAGGACGGUACCUGCAGAGGAAGCCACGGCUAACUACGUGCCAGCAGCCGCGGUAAUACGUAGGUGGCAAGCGUUGUUCGGAAUAACUGGGCGUAAAGGAUGCGUAGGCGGUUAAACAAGUUAUAUGUUAAAUAUAUAGGCUUAACCUGUAGAAAGCAUAUAAAACUGUUUAACUAGAGUGCAGGAGAGGUAAGUGGAAUUCCUAGUGUAGCGGUGAAAUGCGUAGAGAUUAGGAAGAACACCAGUGGCGAAGGCGACUUACUGGACUGUAACUGACGCUGAGGCAUGAGAGCAUGGGGAGCAAACAGGAUUAGAUACCCUGGUAGUCCAUGCUGUAAACGAUGGGUACUAGGUGUGGGUUGUGAAUAACAAUUCGUGCCGUCGCAAACGCAAUAAGUACCCCGCCUGAGGA
This 803-nucleotide ribosomal RNA is filed under the name uncultured bacterium. RNAcentral describes it as "bacterial SSU rRNA". It matches the Rfam family "Bacterial small subunit ribosomal RNA", at positions 63 to 879 of the family's 1533-position model. The record is from RNAcentral.